GUCCACGCCGUAAACGAUGAAUACUAGGUGUCGGGGACAAUAGUUCCUCGGUGCCGAAGCAAACGCAUUAAGUAUUCCACCUGGGGAGUACGUUCGCAAGAAUGAAACUCAAAUGAAUUGACGGGGGCCCGCACAAGCGGUGGAGCAUGUGGUUUAAUUCGAAGCAACGCGAAGAACCUUACCUGGUCUUGACAUCCCGAUGACAGAUCUGUAAUGAGAUCCUUACUUCGGUACAUUGGAGACAGGUGGUGCAUGGCUGUCGU
This 263-nucleotide ribosomal RNA is filed under the name uncultured bacterium. Its description in RNAcentral is "partial 16S ribosomal RNA". It matches the Rfam family "Bacterial small subunit ribosomal RNA", at positions 793 to 1055 of the family's 1533-position model. The record is from RNAcentral.